This 393-nucleotide RNase P RNA is filed under the name Planctomycetota bacterium. RNAcentral's name for it is "Planctomycetes bacterium (sediment metagenome) RNase P RNA component class A". It matches the Rfam family "Bacterial RNase P class A". Rfam says of the family: Ribonuclease P (RNase P) is a ubiquitous endoribonuclease, found in archaea, bacteria and eukarya as well as chloroplasts and mitochondria. Its best characterised activity is the generation of mature 5'-ends of tRNAs by cleaving the 5'-leader elements of precursor-tRNAs. Cellular RNase Ps are ribonucleoproteins. The record is from RNAcentral. Lineage: Bacteria; Pseudomonadati; Planctomycetota.
CAGAGUCGAGGACGCGGCCGCGGCUUGCGCUUCGGCGUGAGUCGAGGAAAGUCCGAGCUCCACAGGGCAGCGCGAUGGGUAACGCCCACCGGCCGUAAGGCCAGGGACAGCGCAACAGAAAACACACCGCCAACGGGCUCGCCUCAGGGCGCGCUGCGGGCAAGGGUGAAAAGGUGCGGCAAGAGCGCACCAGCGGCGUGGUGACACGCCGGCUUGGCAAGCCCCGCGUGGAGCAAUGCCAAACAGGGAGCAGAGGUGGCCCGCCUCGUUACGACUCCCGGGUAGGCAGCACGAGGCCGGUGGCAACACCGGCCCCAGAGGGAUGGUCGCGGCCCCCGGCCGCCGCAAGGUGGCAGGGGGCAACAGAACUCGGCUUACGAUCGGCUCUGCUCC